Molecule: RNA transcript, 1200 nt
Organism: Homo sapiens (human)
Lineage: Eukaryota; Metazoa; Chordata; Mammalia; Primates; Hominidae
Gene: KMT2CP5
Gene name: lysine methyltransferase 2C pseudogene 5
Exons: 10
Source: RefSeq, marked validated
AAAGGCUUGCUGAUAGCGUUCACAGUGACAGCCCGAAAGUAUGAUUCUAAGGGCCAUGGGUCUGGAUUUCCAGGAAAGCGGAGACCUCGAGGUGCAGGACUGUCGGGGCGAGGUGGCCGAGGCAGGUCAAAGCUGAAAAGUGGAAUCGGAGCUGUUGUAUUGCCUGGGGUGUCUACUGCAGAUAUUUCAUCAAAUAAGGAUGAUGAAGAAAACUCUGUGCUCGAUAUGGUUGUGUUGUUUUCUAGCAGUGACAAGUUCACUUUGAAUCAGGAUAUAUGUGUAGUUUGUGGCAGUUUUGGCCAAGGAGCAGAAGGAAGAUUACUUGCCUGUUCUCAGUGUGGUCAGUGUUACCAUCCAUACUGUGUCAGUAUUAAGAUCACUAAAGUGGUUCUUAGCAAAGGUUGGAGGUGUCUUGAGUGCACUGUGUGUGAGGCCUGUGGGAAGGCAACUGACCCAGGAAGACUCCUGCUGUGUGAUGAUUGUGACAUAAGUUAUCACACCUACUGCCUAGACCCUCCAUUGCAGACAGUUCCCAAAGGAGGCUGGAAGUGCAAAUGGUGUGUUUGGUGCAGACACUGUGGAGCAACAUCUGCAGGUCUAAGAUGUGAAUGGCAGAACAAUUACACACAGUGCGCUCCUUGUGCAAGUUUAUCUUCCUGUCCAGUCUGCUAUUGAAACUAUAGAGAAGAAGAUCUUAUUCUGCAAUGAAGACAAUGUGAUAGAUGGAUGCAUGCAGUUCGUCAGAACUUAAAUACUGAGGAAGAAGUGGAAAAUGUAGCAGACAUUGGUUUUGAUUGCAACAUGUGCAGACCCUAUAUGCCUGCGUCUAAUGUGCCUUCCUCAGACUGCUGUGGAUCUUCACUUGUAGCACAAAUUGUCACAAAAACCCACCCAAGACUUAUACCCAGGAUGGUGUGUGUUUGACUGAAUCAGGGAUGACUCAGUUACAGAGCCUCACAGUUACAGUUCCAAGAAGAAAACUGUCAAAACCAAAACUGAAAUUGAAGAUUAUAAAUCAGAAAUAGCGUGGCCGUCCUUCAGACACCUCCAGACAUCCAAUCAGAACAUUCAAGGGAUGGUGAUAUGGAUGAUAGUCGAGACACAGCCGCUGUCGCUGCCAUCUGGCGCGCCGCAGACUCCCGAGAACAGCCCUGGCUGUCAGCGGGCACCAGCCGCUUCCUGUGCCCAUCGCGUAGACUG